Molecule: transfer RNA, 64 nt
Filed under: Linepithema humile (Argentine ant)
Lineage: Eukaryota; Metazoa; Arthropoda; Insecta; Hymenoptera; Formicidae
Description: tRNA-Ser
Source: RNAcentral
AGAUAUAUUUAAAAUUGAACUUCUAAUUCAAUCACUAAUGAAAAAUAAAUUCAUUAUAUAUCUC